CCUACACAGUGCCACUGUACUCCAGCCUUGGCAACAGAGUGAGACUCCAUCUCAAAAAAAAAAAAUUACUAUUAACAGUGUGGUGUAAAUACAUCCUCCCAGCCUUUUCAUGCAUAUAUAAGCCUACAUUUUAACUCAAAUAUAAUCGGAGCAUAAUACAGUCCUGUAACCACCUUUUUCACUCCUCAGUAUGUCAUAGAUAUCUACAUAGAUCUCAAUACAUUUUGAUCUAAUUUAUCUUUUCAAAGGUAUAGAAGUUGUUCGUCAUGUAAUUCACUGCGAACAGUAAAGGAAGGAAGCCCACAAAGAUGAUUUUUAUUUAUCUAUAAGUCUAUAGAACUGAAAUUAUGCUCUUUGGAAUACGGAAGAAUCAAGCCCAACUGUGAUAUAUAUAUAUAUAUAUACACACACACAUACAUAUAUAUAUAUAAAACUGUGAUAUAUAUGUGUGAUAUAUAUAUAUUAGCAUAUAUAUGUUAUAUAUAUAUUAGCAUAUAUAUGUUAUAUAUAUAUAUUAGCAUAAUGAAAUGAAAGAACUGGUUCAUUUGAAGAGGAAAUAUGUAUGCACAUGUGCCAAUAAGCUAAAUAUAAAUGUAUUCCUCUCUAAUCUUUUUUUCAUCAUCAAUAAAUUAUUUCAGCAAUUCAAAUAAAAAGAAUCUGUACAAGGUCUGAACUUGGCUAUUGUUUAUCAGAAUAGUGAAAACAUCCUCUUCUGAAUUAGAAAGUACUCUUCCUGCCUUUCUUCAAAAGAAUAGUAGGGAAUAGUUGGUCCAGAAGUGCCACAAAAUGUUUAUCCUCCAUUUAUAGAUAGGAAUAAACAUUUCAUUAUAGGGCAUGGUCUUCUGUACAGGUGGGUAGAGUGUGAUUUUAAAAGGACAGGUUGCCAAAGAAGAGGAGUUUUUUUCUAGAUACCUGUGAGAUGGGGAAAAGCUCAAAGGGCAAGGAAGAAGAAUCAUCUAGACCUUCAAAGGCCACGCAGGGCUUCCAACUCUGGCUGUGAAUUAGAAUCACCUGAAGAAUCUAGAAAAAUAUUGAUGUCUGGGUCUCAUCCCACAGUAAUUAAAUUAUAACCUGGGAAUGGAGCGCAGGCAAGGGUGUUUUUAUUUUUUAUUUUAUUUUUUUGAGACAGGGUCUCGCUCUGUUAUCCAGGCUGGAGUGUAAG
This 1162-nucleotide long non-coding RNA is filed under the name Homo sapiens (human). Its description in RNAcentral is "HSALNT0127044". Lineage: Eukaryota; Metazoa; Chordata; Mammalia; Primates; Hominidae. The record is from RNAcentral.